RNAcentral lists this ribosomal RNA (214 nucleotides) under uncultured bacterium. RNAcentral's name for it is "partial 16S ribosomal RNA". It matches the Rfam family "Bacterial small subunit ribosomal RNA", at positions 118 to 347 of the family's 1533-position model. The record is from RNAcentral.
UAGGAACAUAUCCAGAGGUGGGGGACAACCCCGGGAAACUGGGGCUAAUACCGCAUAUGAGCCGAGGCUCAAAGCAGUGAUGCGCCUUUGGAGUGGCCUGCGUCCGAUUAGCUUGUUGGUGGGGUAAUGGCCUACCAAGGCGACGACGGGUAGCCGGCCUGAGAGGGCGACCGGCCACACUGGGACUGAGACACGGCCCAGACUCCUACGGGAG